This is a long non-coding RNA of Hordeum vulgare subsp. vulgare (domesticated barley), 2520 nucleotides long. RefSeq lists it as uncharacterized. The transcript is spliced from 2 exons. NCBI's taxonomy places the organism in Eukaryota, Viridiplantae, Streptophyta, Magnoliopsida, Poales, Poaceae. The record is from RefSeq and is a predicted model, not a curated record.
AGCUCGUCUGGCAGCGACGGUGCCGUCGUCGAUGGCGGCGGCAGCGGUGCCAUUGAGGCUAGGGUUUCUGGUGGUGUGGGGGAUUCAUCGGAGGAGAAAGGAGCCUCGCUCACGGAUUCUUCUCGGUUCAACCAGCGAACGCUCCGACAGGGACCCGAAAGAGCACACAAGAAAAAGCGCUCGCCCAAUCAAACAACACAGGUCUAUAUUGUAGGUUUCUCUCGUGAUGAUGGCAUCGCCUCUACUGUGUCCGCCAAUAUUUCAAUCGCAUGUGUAGGAGGAGAAGGCUUGAUGCGCCGUCGCACUGACUCUAGCGCCCAUGGAUCCGGCUACCUGCUCAUCUGAGGCAAGCACCAAGGCUUCGUAAUUUAACUUAGUAUGAUUGAUAACGUAAGGAUGUUUCUCUCUUUGUAGUAUUUAGAAUAGUUGUCAGCUAGCUAUCACUAUCUUUGUUCGCUCUAUUAGUUAUAUUUCUACACUGAUUGGCAACUUAGUCCCCCCUAGCACAAUAUGUGAAAUAGAUCAAGCAAAGUUUCAGACUUGUCAGAAAAGAAAUUAUGGUAGUAAAAUUUGCGCAUAUCAUUACAUUUUGUUUUCUGUUUCAUAUUUUGGCAUCCAUGAAAUAUUUCCGCAACAUUCAGACUGGAUUGUAGGGGAGAACAAACUUGUCACAUUCACACUGAUUAUGUUAUGUUGUAUAUAAAUGCGGUCUAGAUUGUAAAAACUUACGUGAAUAUACCUAAAUGGUUGAGAUGAUGUUAUAGAAUUUAAACAUUUUUACUAACCUUGAGAAUGGAUAGAAAAUGUUAUUUGUUAUUUGUCAAAAUAAAUAAAUUAGAUGACUUGAUUGUUUUUUCCUCAAUAAAUUAGAUGACAUGAUUGUUUUACUAACGAUGUGCAUCCGCUGCGGCCGCCGCACCUUCCACCUGUAGAAGAGCACCUGCUCCUCGUGCGGCUACCCCGCCGCCCACAUCCGCAAGUGUAAGUCCAUCCCACCCCCAGAUCCCGCGAUUACUCUACGCAUAUGUGAAUCAACCUUGCGAAUCCGCAUGUAUUUCACCUCCACUUCUGGCUGCUCUCCUCUUCUGUACACUCACACAUCAAGGCUCUCGCCUGUUUGAAAAAAUGCCCUGAAGAAAUCAUGAACGAGUUAGAUUCUUUCUUCUAAUCCAUCGCUUUGGAUAUUCUUGAUCAACGGGAUGUCUGAGCAAUGUAAGUAUUUUUUUAGGAUGUAUAAAAUCUGCAUGUAUGAUGAUUAUGUACAAUAUACGUAGCUUCCUUUAAAGAAAAUAUCUAGAUUUGGCCCACAUGUUAUUACUGUUUGAAUUGUUACUAGAGACGCAUAAUAAAAUUUGAGGGAGUACUUGUUAUUACUAUUUGAAUCUGAGGGAGUACUUGUUAUUACUAUUUGAAUCUGAGGGAGUACUUGUUAUUACUGCUUUAGGAUGUAUAAAAUAUCUAUGUACAAUCUGAGGGAGUACUUGUAAUUACUGUUUGAAUUGUUACUAGAGAAGCAGCACAAAAUUUGGCCCACAUGUUUCUUUAUGCUCUGAAUGUUUAGCAGUUUUGAACCUUUAGCUAAGCCACUUCUUUGAUAUUAAGUGUAUUGCAUGAGCACUUGUACUUGCUGAUUUUAAGCAUCUUCUUAUCUGAAAGAAAAUAUCAGUAGCCCCUUGCUUUCUUUCCUUUUACAGUUUGAAAAUUAGGAUUACAUUCAAAUUUUAAACUGAUACAAUAUGGGUAAACAAUGAACAGACCUUGUCACGUGGGCAGGUUAAUUAGUUUGUUUGUGUAUAGUUACCAGAGCGGUAUAUGUUUUUGGUAGGAUGUGAAUGUGUAGGAGUUUGGAACCUUCAAGCUACUGUUUUGGGGUUAAGCACAUGUCAUGUAUCAGUUUAGUGCUACUUUGGUGUCAGUCUUUGAUUAGACAUGGCAUGCUCUGUCCAGUAUUUGUUGGUUGUAAGGAUUAGCUUCGCUCUGCUUUGGAAUGCCUGAUAUUAGAUGUCACGUGGUUGCAAAAAUAUCUUUGUCUGAGCUUUCUAUGCAGAUAUUGCUCUACUUAUUUGAUUUACACACUACUUCUCUAGCAUCCUAGAUAAUCCUAGAUGUUCAGUAAACUAACAAUGUUUUCUCUCUUCUAUGAGAUGCACUUCCUUGCAUCAUUCCAGAAAGCACAGGAGGAGAAGCUAUUCUUACUUAGAAUCUGAUACUGAAUCAGAAGUGACAGUGAUCGUAAACACAGGAAGAGGAAGGACCGCAAAAGGCACAUGAAACAUGGCCACUCUGACUCUGAUGGUGCCAGGAGGCGCAAGCAUAGGUCAAAGAGGAGGUAUUCACACUCUAGUGAUGAGAGUGACAGCGAUAACUACAGUAGUGAAUCUAAAGAAAAUAUACAUUGUAUUGUAUAUGCUACUGAAAUAAAAUAUACAUUUUCUUUGCAAUCAAUAGAUGACUAUGCAGGAUGACGUAUUGUAUUUGAUGUGAUUUGCUACUGAAAUAAAAUAUACAUUUUAUUUGCAA